GAGCGCGUAGCUCAGCCGGUAGAGCAUCUGACUUUUAAUCAGAGGGUCUCGGGUUCGAAUCCCGACGCGCUCACCA
This 76-nucleotide transfer RNA is filed under the name Beijerinckiaceae bacterium. RNAcentral's name for it is "tRNA-Lys". It matches the Rfam family "tRNA". From Rfam's summary of the family: Transfer RNA (tRNA) molecules are approximately 80 nucleotides in length. Their secondary structure includes four short double-helical elements and three loops (D, anti-codon, and T loops). Further hydrogen bonds mediate the characteristic L-shaped molecular structure. tRNAs have two regions of fundamental functional importance: the anti-codon, which is responsible for specific mRNA codon recognition, and the 3' end, to which the tRNAs corresponding amino acid is attached (by aminoacyl-tRNA synthetases). tRNAs cope with the degeneracy of the genetic code in two manners: having more than one tRNA (with a specific anti-codon) for a particular amino acid; and 'wobble' base-pairing, i.e. permitting non-standard base-pairing at the 3rd anti-codon position. RNAcentral also lists the same sequence under 1 other name. Lineage: Bacteria; Pseudomonadati; Pseudomonadota; Alphaproteobacteria; Hyphomicrobiales; Beijerinckiaceae. The record is from RNAcentral.